AACGCGAAGAACCUUACCUGGGCUUGACAUCCUCUGAACAUCUAAGAGAUUAGGUUUCCGGGCAACCGGACAGAGAGACAGGUGCUGCAUGGCUGUCGUCAGCUCGUGCCGUGAGAUGUUGGGUUAAGUCCCGCAACGAGCGCAACCCUUGUCCUGUGUUGCCAUCAUUCAGUUGGGAACUCGCAGGAGACCGCCAGCGAUAAGCUGGAGGAAGGUGGGGAUGACGUCAAGUCCUCAUGGCCUUUAUGUCCAGGGCUACACACGUGCUACAAUGGACGGUACAAUACGUCGCUAACCCGCGAGGGGGAGCCAAUCGCUAAAAACCGUUCUCAGUUCGGAUUGCAGGCUGCAACUCGCCUGCAUGAAGCUGGAAUCGCUAGUAAUGGCAGAUCAGCACGCUGCCGUGAAUACGUUCCCGGGCCUUGUACACACCGAGUAUA
This 440-nucleotide ribosomal RNA is filed under the name uncultured bacterium. Its description in RNAcentral is "bacterial SSU rRNA". It matches the Rfam family "Bacterial small subunit ribosomal RNA", at positions 958 to 1398 of the family's 1533-position model. The record is from RNAcentral.